Termitomyces sp. Mi166#008 is the source of this 92-nucleotide non-coding RNA. NCBI's taxonomy places the organism in Eukaryota, Fungi, Basidiomycota, Agaricomycetes, Agaricales, Lyophyllaceae. The record is from the annotation of a GenBank genome assembly.
GUCACUUUGCCGGAGUGGUUAACGGGAUCGCCUGCUAUCUCCAUUCAAGCGGUUGCACUUUGUGCGCGAGUGUUCGAAUCGCUCAGGUGACG